RNAcentral lists this long non-coding RNA (290 nucleotides) under Spirodela polyrhiza (greater duckweed). RNAcentral describes it as "long non-coding RNA (SPOL_LNC001126)". The record is from RNAcentral. Lineage: Eukaryota; Viridiplantae; Streptophyta; Magnoliopsida; Alismatales; Araceae.
GACAUUGGUGGUGUCCCUCAUCAAUUCUGCACCAGAUAGUGUUGUCACCAUGAGCCAAGUAACAAGCAGCUUACUCAAUGAGGAGUUGAGACGGAAAAACUCAACCAGUUCUCAUAGUGAAGCACAAGCACUCGUCACAAAAAAUAGAGGGCGGUCAAAGUCAAGAGAUAAAAGUCACUCAAAAGGUAGAAGCAAGUCAAGAUCAAGGAAGGAGAUUACUUGUUACAACUGUGGUGAAAAAGGACACUUCAAGAAUCAGUGCAAGCAGCCCAAGAAGAACAAGAAAAAGG